RNAcentral lists this long non-coding RNA (220 nucleotides) under Ananas comosus (pineapple). Its description in RNAcentral is "long non-coding RNA (ACOM_LNC033936)". The record is from RNAcentral. Lineage: Eukaryota; Viridiplantae; Streptophyta; Magnoliopsida; Poales; Bromeliaceae.
UCAACUAAAACACAUUAAGGCUCGAAAAAAUGUCGACUUAAAUAAACAGAUCAACCAAAAUAGAAUAGAAUUAAAAAAAAUAAUUAAAUUGAUUCACAUCUCUAUCUCUGCAUUCUCUUUUGAGACUAGUGGUGGGCUCCGAGUUUGAGCCUAUCGUCCUCUGCUGUUACUACACACAUUCAAAUUAAAAAUUCGUAAUCCAAUUUUGCUAAAAAAUUUC